This 501-nucleotide ribosomal RNA is filed under the name uncultured Bacteroidota bacterium. RNAcentral's name for it is "bacterial SSU rRNA". It matches the Rfam family "Bacterial small subunit ribosomal RNA", at positions 46 to 540 of the family's 1533-position model. Lineage: Bacteria; Pseudomonadati; Bacteroidota. The record is from RNAcentral.
GCCUAACACAUGCAAGUCGAACGGUAACAUGAAGUGCUUGCACUUUGAUGACGAGUGGCGCACGGGUGCGUAACGCGUAUACAAUCUACCUUUUACAGGGGGAUAGCCUUUAGAAAUGAAGAUUAAUACCCCAUAGUAAGUAAUAAUGGCAUCAUUAAUACUUUAAAGAUUUAUCGGUAAAAGAUGAGUAUGCGUUCUAUUAGCUAGAUGGUGUGGUAACGGCAUACCAUGGCAACGAUAGAUAGGGGCCCUGAGAGGGGGAUCCCCCACACUGGUACUGAGACACGGACCAGACUCCUACGGGAGGCAGCAGUGAGGAAUAUUGGACAAUGGGCGAGAGCCUGAUCCAGCCAUGCCGCGUGCAGGAAGACUNNCCUAUGGGUUGUAAACUGCUUUUAUACAGGAAGAAACCUUUCCACGUGUGGGAAGCUGACGGUACUGUAAGAAUAAGGAUCGGCUAACUCCGUGCCAGCAGCCGCGGUAAUACGGAGGAUCCAAGCG